Small nuclear RNA from Mesocricetus auratus (golden hamster), 107 nucleotides. The record is from Ensembl. NCBI's taxonomy places the organism in Eukaryota, Metazoa, Chordata, Mammalia, Rodentia, Cricetidae.
AUGCUAGCUUCAGCAGCACAUAUAUUAAAAUCGGAACAAUACAGAGAAGAUGCGCAUGGUCCCUGCGCAAGGAUAACACGCAAAUUCGUGAAGUGUUCCAUAUUUUU